RNAcentral lists this long non-coding RNA (572 nucleotides) under Nicotiana tabacum (common tobacco). RNAcentral describes it as "long non-coding RNA (NTAB_LNC004528)". Lineage: Eukaryota; Viridiplantae; Streptophyta; Magnoliopsida; Solanales; Solanaceae. The record is from RNAcentral.
ACCGGUCGUAGACUAGUCCGCAAUGCCCUUUCCUCUUGAAUCGACCUCUUCGCACGUCGAAUCUAGUCAAAACCACAACGAAUACGUUACAAUAGGCUAAGGGAAUAUAACCCAAUCGAAAAGACUCGAAAAAUGUCGAAAAUCCCGAAAUUAGCAAAACCCGAGCCCCGGGCCCACAUCUCAAAAUUCAGAAAUUUUUACAUCAAUACGACCCUUAUCUCGCCGCGAGUCUAUACAUACCAAAUUCACAAAAAUCGGAGUUCAUUUGACCCCUCAAAUCACCAUUUAAUUCUCUUAAGUUUCAAGCCCUAAACCACUAUUUUUGUCCAUAAAUUACUUGAGUUUUCAGCUCUAAUCCAUGUAUUUAACUUGGAAAUAAGUAGAAACAACUCACCUUUGAUGCUUGAUGAAAUCCCCCUUGAAAUUCUCCCCAAAAUAAUCCAAGCCAAAUGAAAGAAAUAAGCCAAAUCCGUGUUUAAAAUAAUCUGCCCGUGCUUCGUCGAGUUGCACCUUGCACUUGUGCUAUACAAGUUGUACAUCCUAUUAAAAUUGUUUCUUGUCGGACACUUUCU